RNAcentral lists this ribosomal RNA (253 nucleotides) under uncultured bacterium. RNAcentral's name for it is "partial 16S ribosomal RNA". It matches the Rfam family "Bacterial small subunit ribosomal RNA", at positions 524 to 776 of the family's 1533-position model. The record is from RNAcentral.
UACGAAGGGGGCUAGCGUUGUUCGGAAUUACUGGGCGUAAAGGGCGCGUAGGCGGUGUGUCAAGUCAGGCGUGAAAGCCCCGGGCUCAACCUGGGAACAGCGCUUGAGACUGGCACGCUCGAGUUCGGGAGAGGAUGGUGGAAUUCCCAGUGUAGAGGUGAAAUUCGUAGAUAUUCGGAAGAACACCAGUGGCGAAGGCGGCUCACUGGACCGGCAUUGACGCUGAGGUGCGAAAGCGUGGGGAGCAAACAGG